RNAcentral lists this ribosomal RNA (1481 nucleotides) under metagenome. RNAcentral describes it as "bacterial SSU rRNA". It matches the Rfam family "Bacterial small subunit ribosomal RNA". The record is from RNAcentral.
AGAGUUUGAUCCUGGCUCAGGAUGAACGCUAGCGGCAGGCCUAAUACAUGCAAGUCGUACGGUAACAUGAGUAGCAAUACUUGAUGACGAGUGGCGCACGGGUGCGUAACACGUAUGUAAUCUUCCCAAAACUGGGGAAUAGCCCACCGAAAGGUGGAUUAAUACCCCAUAACACAAUAGAGUGGCAUCACUCAGUUGUUAAAUCUCCGGAGGUUUUGGAUGAACAUGCGUUCGAUUAGCUAGUUGGCGGGGUAAAAGCCCACCAAGGCUACGAUCGAUAGGGGUACUGAGAGGUUACACCCCCACACUGGAACUGAGACACGGUCCAGACUCCUACGGGAGGCAGCAGUAAGGAAUAUUGGACAAUGGAGGCAACUCUGAUCCAGCCAUGCCGCGUGAAGGAUGACGGUCCUAUGGAUUGUAAACUUCUUUUGAACGGGAAAAAACGCUCUUACGUGUAAGAGCCUGAUUGUACCGUUAGAAUAAGGGUCGGCUAACUUCGUGCCAGCAGCCGCGGUAAGACGAAGGACCCAAGCGUUAUCCGGAUUCAUUGGGUUUAAAGGGUGCGUAGGUGGAAAGAUAAGUCAGUGGUGAAAUCUCCGGGCUCAACUCGGAAACUGCCAUUGAUACUGUUUUUCUUGAGUGCAUAUGAUGUGGGCGGAAUAUGACAUGUAGUGGUGAAAUACUUAGAUAUGUCAUAGAACACCGAUUGCGAAGGCAGCUCACAAAACUGCAACUGGCACUGAGGCACGAAAGCGUGGGGAUCAAACAGGAUUAGAUACCCUGGUAGUCCAUGCCUUAAACUAUGAUAACUCGAUGUUUGCGAUACACUGCCAGCGUCCAAGCGAAAGCGUUAAGUUAUCCACCUGGGGAGUACGGUCGCAAGACUGAAACUCAAAGGAAUUGACGGGGGCCCGCACAAGCGGAGGAGCAUGUGGUUUAAUUCGAUGGUACGCGAGGAACCUUACCUGGGCUUGAAAGUUAGUGAUCGUCUGUGAAAGCAGAUUUCCCGCAAGGGCACGAAACUAGGUGCUGCAUGGCUGUCGUCAGCUCGUGCCGUGAGGUGUUGGGUUAAGUCCCGCAACGAGCGCAACCCCUAUCUUUAGUUGCCAGCGAGUAAUGUCGGGGACUCUAGAGAAACUGCCCGCGCAAGCGGUGAGGAAGGUGGGGAUGACGUCAAGUCAUCACGGCCCUUACGUCCAGGGCUACACACGUGCUACAAUGGCAGAUACAAAGGGCAGCUACACAGUAAUGUGAUGCUAAUCUCUAAAAUCUGCCUCAGUUCGGAUAGAGGUCUGCAACUCGACCUCUUGAAGCUGGAUUCGCUAGUAAUCGGAUAUCAGCAAUGAUCCGGUGAAUACGUUCCCGGGCCUUGUACACACCGCCCGUCAAGCCAUGGAAGUUGAGAGUACCUAAAGUAGGUUCCCGUAAGGCGCCUCCUAGGGUAAAAUCAAUGACUGGAGCUAAGUCGUAACAAGGUA